Molecule: ribosomal RNA, 428 nt
Filed under: uncultured archaeon
Lineage: Archaea
Description: bacterial SSU rRNA
Rfam family: Archaeal small subunit ribosomal RNA
Source: RNAcentral
UACCAGCUCCCUGAGUGGUAAGGACGAUUAUUUGGCCUAAAGCGUCCGUAGCCGGCUUAUCAAGUCUCUUGUUAAACCCAAUGAUUCAAUCAUUGACCCGCAAGAGAUACUGUUAUGCUAGAGGACGGGAGAGGUCGACGGUAGUCCAGGGGUAGGGGUGAAAUCCUAUAAUCCUUGGAGGACCACCAGUGGCGAAGGCGGUCGACUAGAACGUGCCUGACGGUGAGGGACGAAAGCUGGGGGAGCGAACCGGAUUAGAUACCCGGGUAGUCCCAGCUGUAAACGAUGCGGGCUAGGUGUUGGGAUGGCUACGUGCCAUUUCAGUGCCGCAGGGAAGCCGUUAAGCCUGCCGCCUGGGGAGUACGGCCGCAAGGCUGAAACUUGAAGGAAUUGGCGGGGAGCACCACAAGGGGUGAAGCUUGCGGUUU